RNAcentral lists this ribosomal RNA (642 nucleotides) under Triticum aestivum (bread wheat). Its description in RNAcentral is "partial small subunit ribosomal RNA". The record is from RNAcentral. Lineage: Eukaryota; Viridiplantae; Streptophyta; Magnoliopsida; Poales; Poaceae.
AUGGGUGGAUGUACCCAGUUGAAAGAAGGCUAUAUACUGCGCUAUGUGAGGAAUAGGGCACGACCAGAAGGUUCGAUUGCUGAAGCAUAUGUUGCAGAUGAAUGCCUGACAUUUUGCUCCAAGUACAUGGAUGAUGUUGAAACAAUAUUUAAUCGGAACCCAAGAAAUAUAGGUUUUUCAGAUGAAGAAGCCUAUGGUGUUGAUGUUUUUGGACAUGGAGUUAAUUUUACUUCAGGAUAUGAUUAUGAAUAUGUACAUGCGGAAAAAGAAUUUGAUCAGAUGGUGUGGUAUGUGUUGAACAAUUGUGAUCAAGCUAAGAAAUAUAUCGAAAUAUUCAGAGAUGAGUUAAAGAGAAAAGGGGCGCCGGACAGUGAUAAGGAGCUUCAAAAAAAUAUUCCAACAUGGUUCAAGAACUAUAUGAUAAGGAUGCAGGAUGAGGUUGGUGAAGAGGUAGACGAAGAUCUCUUUGCCUUGGCAUGUGAUCCUGAUCGGAGAGUCCGGAAAUUCUCAUCAUGCAUAGUGAAUGGGAUUAGAUUUAGCACUGUUGAUCAUGAUAGCAACAAGAGAACGCAAAACAGUGGAGUCAUGACCGAAGGUGAACAUGGCCGUAAGCUCAUAAAUUUUUAUGGAACCUUGAAAUAG